RNAcentral lists this ribosomal RNA (588 nucleotides) under Crenosoma striatum. Its description in RNAcentral is "eukaryotic LSU rRNA". It matches the Rfam family "Eukaryotic large subunit ribosomal RNA", at positions 390 to 911 of the family's 3401-position model. Lineage: Eukaryota; Metazoa; Nematoda; Chromadorea; Rhabditida; Crenosomatidae. The record is from RNAcentral.
CAAGAGAACGUGAAAUCGUUGAAGUGGAACCGGAGAGAGUUGACGUAGUAUGGUGGAUAAGUAUUGCAAGAAUCGCUUCAAACCAUGAAUGUGAUCGAGUAAUAUGUACGUCACCAAAGACUGCGCUGACAGCAUCGACUACACGCUCUGAACUGUGUUGACAUGUUGCCUAYUCUAGUAUAUAGARUGGUGUCUUGUGUUACGUGGUGAAGUUUGUUGUUAUGUUGUUGAUGUUGAUAAGUAUGAUUAUACACCGAGUAUAAUUAUGUCAGUGUAAAAGUCAACCACCUCUCCGACCCGUCUUGAAACACGGACCGAGGAGUGUAACUUGUACGCGAGUCAUUGGGUGGAAAAACCUUAAGGCGAAACGAAAGUGAAGGCACGGUUAACCGGCUGACAUGGGAAACGUGCGGUAUUGUUAGCGAGACGUUACACCAUGGCCCUGUCUUGUCUGCAUGCAGAUGGGCAGCGGUAGAGCGUACAGGUUGCGACCCGAAAGAUGGUGAACUAUGCCUGAGCAGGACGAAGUCAGAGGAAACUCUGGUGGAAGUCCGUAUCGGUUCUGACGUGCAAAUCGAUCGAUAGACU